CCGGCCCAGAACGGGCUCACACCUGCCAGCGGUGGGGACAGAGCGUGUUACUUCACAAGGGUUACACACAUAUGCACAGGCAUUUUAGGGCCAUUCAGAAGGAGAAGUAGUGCUUUGAGACAUUCAUGGAAAGCAAAGUAUGGAGCAACUAAAUGCAUGAAGCACAACACAUUAGACUAGGAAAUACACUCCUGUGGCACAAAUAUACCUAAAAAUUCUAAAGAGAUGAGGAAAGCUGGAAGCCUCUCCAUACUCCACAAAGUGAAGAGGGCUCUCAGUGUAUCCUGGAUCCAGGCUUGUUCCCAAGAGAUUUGUAUGACUGAGAUUGUCUGCCUUUAACGAGGAGUGUCUGAAUUUUACGAAGCCUUUUUUGUUCGUGAAGAAUUCUUCUGUUCUUUGAAGUCUUCGGCAUGGUAACAAAAUAAAGCUUAACAUUCUGAUGCCUUAAAAUUUGAGAUCUUGGGUAGCAAAAAAUAGUAGCCUCUCUUAUAAAUGACGAGUUUGGUGUGAUUGAGAACUGCCCAGCAGCACAGCCACGCUCUCUUCCUGUGACACAGAGCACAUAAAUGUAUACAGAGGAAUUCAAAACUGAAGAAAGCUGUGAACUGACAAAGGUCUCUUGUCCACUCUGCAGGCUUUUGUAUACAUCAGGGGAAAGAGGAGAGAUAUUUUACAACAAACCAGAAGUGUCCUAAAUUAAGAUUGUUGCAAUGUGAUGUCUUUGUAGUUUCCAUACAUACUAACAUGAGGCAGAAUUCAGAGCACUGGAAUGUGAAGGCAGAUCCAUUUGAAUCAGAAAUAUGAUUACAUAAAAGUUCAUCAUUAAGGUAAUUAGAACUUCCUGGAAUGCUUAUUCUGCUCUAUGUAAUUUACCACGGCAGUGAUAUACUGGUUUUGGCAAAGUGGCUAAUCUAAUCUCAACAUUUAAUGCCCUCAUAAUCAAUUCUGGGAGUUACAUUUUGGUUUAACUGUUUUUUCAAAAGUCUGCUCAGUCAUUCAUAUUUUGCAUUAAUGUUCUGUACUGGAAGAAUGCAAGGUAGUAAUUGGUGAGAUCAGGUGAAAUUAAUUCACCUCACAAAUGGUUUGCUUUCUUUACCUAAGUGGAGAUCUUAAUUGUAACUUACUGUGUGUUGUCCUGAUUGUCAACAUGCAAAUGUUACGUAGCUUAAUGAAAUGUGAGACUUAAACCCAAUACACUUUUAUUCCAUAACCAGUGACUUUAUCAUACUGGUAUAUUUUUUGCAGUAACAGGAACUGUAUUAAACAAACUGGUUUUAACUGUGGCAAAGGUCAAUCCUCCUUGAACUCUAAAAUGCUCUUUCAAGCAAACAUUUUAGCUUCAAUGAACAAGAGAAAACCUACCAACCCAAAACUUUUUAGACAGUUAUUGAAGAAUACAAUUGUGGCUAUAUUUGUCUAAAUAUUUAAAUAUUUACUAAAUGGUAAUGAUAUUUUUUUAUUUCUGUGGGGAAACUAACGUAGGUUCACCUACAGAAGCUUAAUAUCAUCUUGGAUUCUCCCCAGGGAGAGGUAGUUCUGCAAGUUUGAAUAUAUUUUGAAGAGCUUUAGUUUGUGGUCUUCUCUUUGUAAAUUUGGUUUCAUGCAUGUGAACUCUUUAAGAACUCUUUUAUUGCUUAUCAUUUCAAUUUCAACUUCAUUGUCCCACCCUCAGGGAAUUUAUCAUAGCCAAGCAUGUUGUUACAUUGAAGCACAUAGAAUUCCAGGUUAUGAAUACUCUCUUCAGGACAGACAGGAAAAUUGUUCUCAUUUAAUUACACUCAUUUGCAAAAAUUGCUGACUUAUCCUGGCAUGACAAAAAAUUCUCUUCUGUAGAACACCGUCAAAUAUAUUUGAAAAAUUAUUAUUGGGCAUUUAUACCAAUUCUGACAUAAUUUCUUAUAACAAUAACCUGAUAUUAUUGCAGAAAACUUAAGAUUGUUAUAGAUUACAUAGGCUGAUCAAAAAACCUUCACCACUUGUUGGAUUAUAUGUAGUGCUUAACUUGUAAAACCAAACAGCAAAUGGUUGUGUCAUGUAACUAAGCAAAUGUGUGGUAUAAAUUGACUUUGCCUCAAUUCUUUCCGUGAUGAAUGAACAUUCUGUUCUCAGAAAUAAUUGCUUGGAUGGAAAGGUCGCACACAUCAACCGUGGAGUGCAAAUGGUUACUCCCCAAAUCCUUGUUAAGCUAAUUUCAUAGGAAGCAGGAAUUUGUGUUGGUGUUUCUGAAUGCUGUAUAAAGCCCAGUGUUCAGAAGGAACCAUUCAGUAGUUCCCAAGUGUGGCACUGUUUAAAAUCAGUUAGCACUUACAGGAAAAAUUCCAUAACCACCCAACAUGGCACAAUCACUUGAUAUAUGGUUAGAUAUUUAUUAGCAAUUUUGAAUUUCAAGUACUUCUGGAAGCACCAAAAAUUUCAACAAGCAAAAAGAACAAUAAGCUAUGUUAUAUCAAAGGUCAUGCAUGUGAUGCCAUACAGGGGCCAUGUAAUUAUUAUUGAGAUAGCUACAUGCAUUCUUUUUCAACAAAUUGAAUUUUUUUUCUGAAAAAGAAAUGUGGAGAAAAAAUACAAGAUCUGGGGAACUUGCAUCUAGAUAAACUGAUAAUCCAAGUUAUUAAUUUAAUUAAUUUGGAAUUUAGUGCCAUUUGAGAGCAAGUAUAUGCAGACAUAUUUUAUGGAAAACUUUGGAAUGCUAACAUAGUUAAGAACAAUGAAAAAUUUUUCUUUGUAAUAUUUCUUUGCUUUUCUUAUUAGCACCUAAUAAACAUCUGCAAUCUACUUCUGACUACCUUUAUGAAAGAACUAUGGCCAGUAGGGGUAGUGAUACACAGAUCUAGUAAAUGAGGGAAGAGUGGGUGCAUGAUACACACGUGAGGAAGUGCAGAGCAGAACACCAUUACCUGUGAUAGAAAUGGAAAGAGGUUUGUCUUCCUUUGAAACAGUGAUGAGAUAUAAAGCUCAAGCGGAGGGGAUUUUUGGCUUGGCUGCUCUUUGUUUUUUACCUCUGCUAUGAUCACUGAGCUCCAGUGCUGCCAUAAAAACAAAAGACAAAGUUAACUACUGCUCCUUACCUGAGCUACAGCAAUUCACCAUCUAUGUAAGAAAUCAGUCCAGCCCCCAUAUUUGUAAUUAUUAUUAGACAUUCUACUUCACAGUAAGGAUAAACAU
Cyanistes caeruleus (blue tit) is the source of this 3165-nucleotide non-coding RNA. The record is from RefSeq and is a predicted model, not a curated record. NCBI's taxonomy places the organism in Eukaryota, Metazoa, Chordata, Aves, Passeriformes, Paridae.